RNAcentral lists this ribosomal RNA (483 nucleotides) under uncultured bacterium. RNAcentral's name for it is "partial 16S ribosomal RNA". It matches the Rfam family "Bacterial small subunit ribosomal RNA", at positions 30 to 506 of the family's 1533-position model. The record is from RNAcentral.
AUUGAACGCUGGCGGCAGGCCUAACACAUGCAAGUCGAGCGGAUGAAGGGAGCUUGCUCCUGGAUUCAGCGGCGGACGGGUGAGUAAUGCCUAGGAAUCUGCCUGGUAGUGGGGGAUAACGUCCGGAAACGGGCGCUAAUACCGCAUACGUCCUGAGGGAGAAAGUGGGGGAUCUUCGGACCUCACGCUAUCAGAUGAGCCUAGGUCGGAUUAGCUAGUUGGUGGGGUAAAGGCCUACCAAGGCGACGAUCCGUAACUGGUCUGAGAGGAUGAUCAGUCACACUGGAACUGAGAAACGGCCCAGACUCCUACGGGAGGCAGCGGUGGGGAAUAUUGGCAAAUGGGCGAAAGCCUGAUCCAGCCAUGCCGCGUGUGUGAAGAAGGUCUUCGGAUUGUAAAGCACUUUAAGUUGGGAGGAAGGGCAGUAAGUUAAUACCUUGCUGUUUUGACGUUACCAACAGAAUAAGCACCGGCUAACUGCGU